AUGCAUCUAUUCCCUGCACUCAUCUUCUCUUACUCUUCAAUUCCUUCCCCCUUGCUUUCUGAUUCCUUUCCCCCCCCUCCAAUGAAAAAAAUGACCUGUGAUAAGAGUAUUUCUUGUCAGAGAGCAAUGCCAACAACUGCUGCUUUCUGCAAGGCAGUAUAUAAGCAGUGAGUGGUGAAGUGGGAAGUGGUCUGAGCUCAUCAUCACAAGCAGCAUCUCAAUGCUCGCUGUGCUGUGUGGGAGAUGUGCAACCCCCGCCCUCAUAUGAAAAAAGUGAAUAAGCAGAAAGCUAUCUGUGAGAUUCAUUAUUAUCAGAAGUCUGAGAAUCUCAUUUUCCUCAAGACCAUGUUUGUAUGUUUUG
This 361-nucleotide small RNA is filed under the name Histoplasma ohiense. Its description in RNAcentral is "hypothetical lncRNA". Lineage: Eukaryota; Fungi; Ascomycota; Eurotiomycetes; Onygenales; Ajellomycetaceae. The record is from RNAcentral.